AGGAAAUCCAAGCUCAGAAUGGAUAAUUCACCUAAGGAAAUACAGAUGGAAAAUGGCGGAGCUGCAAUCUAAACCCAGGUCCAUCUGAUAAUAAAGCCCAGGCUCUCCUCAACCAACCUCAGAUCUAGGAUGCUUCCAGUGAGACUCCGUGCUCCCUCCCUGUGUGGUUCCCAUGGCCUUUCUUUACCUCAAGAAAAUGCUGAAUGAAAAGCAAUGGUACCAGAAGUUUCUAGAAGUUACUUAUAUGGCAAGUGCAAGUAUUUCAGAACACAUUUGAGAUUCAGGAAGGAGGCAAAAAGGCUUCUGCUGAGCAGUCAAAAUGACGAAGUUUGUAAACUUCACUUUAUUUGGGUCCCUGCUGAAAGUCUACCUACUCUUCAAAAACAAUAACAACAACAAAAAAUGGGAACACACUAUUAACGCUGUUCUGCACACGUAUUUUUCAAUUAACAAUUGGUGAGUAUUCCCUUUUAGCGCACAUAGAUCUACCUCAUUCACUUAAGGGCUGCGUAGUGCUGCAUUGUGUGAAUGCACCAAAUGUGUAUUUAUCCUGCAUUCUCUAGGUGGACAUUUUAGACACUUACAAGGGUUGGGGCUCAGAAAGUGAUAUCCCAAAGGCUGAUGUUUUGACAUGCUGAGGGCCCUCAGAAGCCGCCCCCGAAUCAAGGUCCCUCUAACUUCUUGUUCCCCAUACCUGCCCCACCACCAAACACAGGGAGGGACUGUCUGUCUUUGGAAAUUUCCUCAUCUGACCAAGAAAGCAUCUUUCCAAAAGAAAUGCAAUUGUCUUAAACAUCCUCCCUAGAGGUCUCAUCAAAUAACCAAGAAAGAUAAACCACCAGAAGAGAUGAGACUGGGAAUCAUCACCACACCCAGACAGACUUCAUCUAUUCUUCUGAGGGCAGCUCCGAGAGAUUGCCUGGAGGACUUUAUCUGCUUAAUAAGACAACCUUUGUUCCUGUGCAGCUCCGCCCCUCACCUUCCUGUAAUAUCUGCCUCCCGCCUCCCCAGUCCAUACAUCUCCUCCCUCCUGUAUGAAAAAGGGUAUACAAGCUUCUGUGCCCCAUUGGGUUAUUGGGAAAUCAUUCUCCUGUGAUUCCCCUGUGCCAUGCACACUAAAAUAAAAUUUUGUAUGCCUUUUCUCCUAUC
This is a long non-coding RNA of Gorilla gorilla gorilla (western lowland gorilla), 1149 nucleotides long. RefSeq lists it as uncharacterized. The transcript is spliced from 2 exons. The record is from RefSeq and is a predicted model, not a curated record. Lineage: Eukaryota; Metazoa; Chordata; Mammalia; Primates; Hominidae.